ACGACACAGGAAACCAAUACAACAACAAACUGCAAGAGGGAACGGUGCACUGGAGAACCACGAGACCUUUGCGAAGAAGAAAUUCAAAGAUGGAACGAUGCACUGGUGAACCACGGGACCAAAAAGAAGAAGAAAUUGAAAGAGGGAGAGUUCAACCACCAAAAGAAGAAGAAAUUGAAAGAGGGAGACUAUCGUAACCCUAAUGGAAAUUUGAACCAAAGAUUAAACCUUUUCAAAAAAAAUU
This 244-nucleotide long non-coding RNA is filed under the name Phaseolus vulgaris (common bean). Its description in RNAcentral is "long non-coding RNA (PVUL_LNC005118)". The record is from RNAcentral. Lineage: Eukaryota; Viridiplantae; Streptophyta; Magnoliopsida; Fabales; Fabaceae.